UUGAACGCUGGCGGCAUGCUUUACACAUGCAAGUCGAACGGCAGCGGGGGCUUCGGCCUGCCGGCGAGUGGCGAACGGGUGAGUAAUGCAUCGGAACGUACCCAGUCGUGGGGGAUAACUACGCGAAAGCGUGGCUAAUACCGCAUACGCCCUGAGGGGGAAAGCGGGGGACCUUCGGGCCUCGCGCGAUUGGAGCGGCUGAUGUCGGAUUAGCUGGUUGGUGGGGUAAAGGCCUACCAAGGCGACGAUCAGUAGCUGGUCUGAGAGGAUGAUCAGCCACACUGGAACUGAGACACGGUCCAGACUCCUACGGGAGGCAGCAGUGGGGAAUUUUGGACAAUGGGGGAAACCCUGAUCCAGCCAUUCCGCGUGAGUGAAGAAGGCCUUCGGGUUGUAAAGCUCUUUCGGCAGGAACGAAACGGCGGAUACUAAUAUUAUCCGUUACUGACGGUACCUGAAGAAGAAGCACCGGCUAACUACGU
Molecule: ribosomal RNA, 482 nt
Filed under: uncultured bacterium
Lineage: Bacteria
Description: bacterial SSU rRNA
Rfam family: Bacterial small subunit ribosomal RNA
Source: RNAcentral